GAUGAACGCUGGCGGCGUGCCUAAUACAUGCAAGUCGAGCGAACAGACGAGGAGCUUGCUCCUCUGACGUUAGCGGCGGACGGGUGAGUAACACGUGGAUAACCUACCUAUAAGACUGGGAUAACUUCGGGAAACCGGAGCUAAUACCGGAUAACAUGUUGAACCGCAUGGUUCAACAGUGAAAGACGGUUUUGCUGUCACUUAUAGAUGGAUCCGCGUCGCAUUAGCUAGUUGGUAAGGUAACGGCUUACCAAGGCAACGAUGCGUAGCCGACCUGAGAGGGUGAUCGGCCACACUGGAACUGAGACACGGUCCAGGCUCCUACGGGAGGCAGCAGUAGGGAAUCUUCCGCAAUGGGCGAAAGCCUGACGGAGCAACGCCGCGUGAGUGAAGAAGGUCUUCGGAUCGUAAAACUCUGUUAUUAGGGAAGAACAAAUGUGUAAGUAACUAUGCACGUCUUGACGGUACCUAAUCAGAAAGCCACGGCUAACUACGUG
RNAcentral lists this ribosomal RNA (497 nucleotides) under uncultured bacterium. RNAcentral's name for it is "partial 16S ribosomal RNA". It matches the Rfam family "Bacterial small subunit ribosomal RNA", at positions 28 to 507 of the family's 1533-position model. The record is from RNAcentral.